GCGGCCGUAGCUCAAUUUGGUUAGAGCACCGCCCUGUCACGGCGGGGGUUACCGGUUCAAGUCCGGCCGGCCGCG
This 75-nucleotide transfer RNA is filed under the name Patescibacteria group bacterium. Its description in RNAcentral is "tRNA-Asp". It matches the Rfam family "tRNA". From Rfam's summary of the family: Transfer RNA (tRNA) molecules are approximately 80 nucleotides in length. Their secondary structure includes four short double-helical elements and three loops (D, anti-codon, and T loops). Further hydrogen bonds mediate the characteristic L-shaped molecular structure. tRNAs have two regions of fundamental functional importance: the anti-codon, which is responsible for specific mRNA codon recognition, and the 3' end, to which the tRNAs corresponding amino acid is attached (by aminoacyl-tRNA synthetases). tRNAs cope with the degeneracy of the genetic code in two manners: having more than one tRNA (with a specific anti-codon) for a particular amino acid; and 'wobble' base-pairing, i.e. permitting non-standard base-pairing at the 3rd anti-codon position. The record is from RNAcentral. RNAcentral also lists the same sequence under 2 other names.